Molecule: ribosomal RNA, 452 nt
Filed under: uncultured bacterium
Lineage: Bacteria
Description: bacterial SSU rRNA
Rfam family: Bacterial small subunit ribosomal RNA
Source: RNAcentral
GUCCAGACUCCUACGGGAGGCAGCAGUGGGGAAUAUUGGGCAAUGGGCGCAAGCCUGACCCAGCAACGCCGCGUGAAGGAAGAAGGCUUUCGGGUUGUAAACUUCUUUUCUCAGGGACGAAGCAAGUGACGGUACCUGAGGAAUAAGCCACGGCUAACUACGUGCCAGCAGCCGCGGUAAUACGUAGGUGGCAAGCGUUAUCCGGAUUUACUGGGUGUAAAGGGCGUGUAGGCGGGACUGCAAGUCAGAUGUGAAAACCACGGGCUCAACCUGUGGCCUGCAUUUGAAACUGUAUUUCUUGAGUGCUGGAGAGGCAAUCGGAAUUCCGUGUGUAGCGGUGAAAUGCGUAGAUAUACGGAGGAACACCAGUGGCGAAGGCGGAGUGCUGGACAGUAACUGACGCUGAGGCGCGAAAGCGUGGGGAGCAAACAGGAUUAGAUACCCCAGUACCG